Molecule: transfer RNA, 75 nt
Filed under: Mycolicibacterium fortuitum
Lineage: Bacteria; Bacillati; Actinomycetota; Actinomycetes; Mycobacteriales; Mycobacteriaceae
Description: tRNA-Thr
Rfam family: tRNA
About the family: Transfer RNA (tRNA) molecules are approximately 80 nucleotides in length. Their secondary structure includes four short double-helical elements and three loops (D, anti-codon, and T loops).
Source: RNAcentral
GCCGGAUUAGCUCAACAGGAAGAGCACCUGUCUCGUAAACAGGCGGUGCGGGUUCGAGGCCCGCAUCCGGCUCAA